CUUACAGUGUUCCAAGAUGAAUAUAAUGGAAUGAAAAGCCAAUGUAAGUCAUUGCUGAUGAUUCUGUACAACGUAGGAGAAGGUUUCAGGAGAGCAACCUGUUUGAAUUCCACCAACAAAGUGAAUGCCUGGAAGAGAAAAUCUGAUCAUUCAAUGCACCAUAGUUAUGCUUUAAAGGAUUUUUCCCAGGAGACAUACAUGACCUGGUUUUUGAUACCUCACACUUUGGUUAAAUGUUUCAGAAGAUGAACUGCAAUUGCAUAGUGUGGGGAUUCUUUUGGCUCAUUGUGCUGUUCUUUCUCGGCUGGCCCAUAAGCAUAGCCUUGUGUGCCCUCCAUGGAUUCCUUUCUCC
Molecule: long non-coding RNA, 352 nt
Organism: Gallus gallus (chicken)
Lineage: Eukaryota; Metazoa; Chordata; Aves; Galliformes; Phasianidae
Source: Ensembl